GGUAAACGAAACGAAGUAGUCGUAAACUAACUACGAUAACAACAGAUGAUGCCUAUCAACUGUUUAAAAGAUGGUUCUGCUAUCACUCUUGGAUGGACCUGCGGUGCAUUAGCUAGUUGGUAGGGUAACGGCCUACCAAGGCGAUGAUGCAUAGCCGAGUUGAGAGACUGAUCGGCCACAUUGGGACUGAGACACGGCCCAAACUCCUACGGGAGGCAGCAGCU
Molecule: ribosomal RNA, 224 nt
Filed under: uncultured Lactobacillus sp.
Lineage: Bacteria; Bacillati; Bacillota; Bacilli; Lactobacillales; Lactobacillaceae
Description: partial 16S ribosomal RNA
Rfam family: Bacterial small subunit ribosomal RNA
Source: RNAcentral